Molecule: ribosomal RNA, 232 nt
Filed under: uncultured bacterium
Lineage: Bacteria
Description: partial 16S ribosomal RNA
Rfam family: Bacterial small subunit ribosomal RNA
Source: RNAcentral
UACGUAGGGUGCAAGCGUUAAUCGGAAUUACUGGGCGUAAAGCGUGCGCAGGCGGUUUUGUAAGUCUGUCGUGAAAUCCCCGGGCUCAACCUGGGAAUUGCGAUGGAGACUGCAAGGCUAGAAUCUGGCAGAGGGGGGGUAGAAUUCCACGUGUAGCAGUGAAAUGCGUAGAGAUGUGGAGGAACACCGAUGGCGAAGGCAGCCCCCUGGGUCAAGAUUGACGCUCAUGCAC